GCGGUACCUCGCAGACCUCUCAUCAUGCCUUGAAUUCUCAGAAAGCUCCUGGUCAGCUAGGGGGCUCUUAGAGUAGGAUUGUACUAGGUGACAGUAGUUUUUGAAUUGUAUGGAUUUAAAAUACAGUUUGAAUAAUGAUACAACAUAAAAUGACGAAAACCCAGAAUGUGCUGUCUGGGAAUGGAAGAGGGCAAGGUCAAAGCCACUGAGGCUGCAUUUAUUACGCGAGGCACCUGUCUCCAGUAUUCCUGCCUCAUAUUAAGCUCUGCAUUUCCAGAUUCCCAGAUGGGAGGCAGGCAGAGCCAUCGAGGUGAUUAGUUCAAGCACCAACCUUUUAUCCCACUGUUUCUUUCUCUGUCCUCACCUUGAGGAUGCGUGAUCACGUUCUCAGCACGCUUUGGAAGUGUGCCCUAUUAAGAGAAAACUCACUUCCUACUUAGCAACUCUAAAACCCAAGGGUACUUAAGUUCACCAUUCUUCAAAAAAAGCUCUUUUCUUGAAGUUUAGUAUUCACAUCUAUAUACUCCAGAAAUUAGAAAAUUUGCUUGUCACCACAGUGACCACAUUUUUCAUAGUUUUAUCCUAGAAAAAAGUCGGAUUCUGUAAGGGAUGAAGAUGCUCACAAGGUAACUGUAGAAAGGGAACCACGCUUCGUCCCACCGUCCUGCGAACACAAGCAAACGUUCUUGUUGCUAGUGUUAGAAAAGAAGCUAAGACAGCAUGUUUCUUCACUGUUGAGAGAACAGUACCUUCUGACAUGGUGGAUGAGCACCUGCGUUCAGUGGCCCGGUUUUACCCAACAGCCACCCGAGGCUCCGUUCCUGGGGACUCCAGGUGAGGCCAUCAUGGCGGAGGACUGUGACCGAGGGAAGCAGCUCACACGAUGGUCAGGAAGCAGAGAGAGAGGUCUCCGCUUGCCAGCAACUCAAUGAUGAUGAUACGAGCAGUUAAGGGCUGCAGAGUCUCAGGAAUGUUUGCCCUUAGUUAAUGAGUGGCUUUGCCAAGAGUGGUAGUGUGUCCUCCAAGAUGACGUGCGUGAUCCCACCAAAAUCGACCCCAGAUGCUUCUGACCUGUGUCUGGCCUCAAGAUGUUCCUCGCCUGGUGUCCGGGGGAGCUGUCUCCAGUCUGCCCCCUGCCGGCCCAUGAGCCAGCCGUGGCAAGUCACUGACCGGGAGCUGAUCCCCAGGCUUGGAAGAGGGUCUCGGGGUCAGGUGGGCCUAGACCUUCCAGAAAGCUGCGGCCCCAGCAUAUUACCACCCACCAGAUCGUCUCCACAGAAGGGUGACAGAGCAGUUUUGUGCCCACUCCGUCUGAGGGCUGCUUUGCCUUAGGUGGGUCACCAUCAGAGUCUCAGGUUGAGAUGAGUAGGUGGGCAGCAGACAAACCAAGCUGCACCAGGGCUGGCCGUCUUCUCCCUCUUGCCGCUCAGUCCUUCCGUUAUCUUGACUCUUGAAAUCAGAUAACCUACUGAUUUCAAAGAGAGAUGCGUUUGGUUCUGCUGUGAUGAAAAUCCGGUGCUCAUGGAGGAUAGCUACUUGUUUAGUGUUUUUACUUUUCAUUUCUGUUUACCAUGUUCACUGGAUGACCAGAUAUCAGUUAUUCUCAUCAGCGCAUUUUGGAAACUUUUAUUCAAGUGAAGAAAAUCAGGUUAGAAAAGAGAAUAAAAGUCAUGAAUGCUCAUUAACUGGCAUCAGUGUUGUACAGUGAUCAGCCUGAGUGCCUGUCAGUGGGCUCCCAAGUCAGAGCUCCUGCAGCGGGAAUCUGCAGGGCAAGAGCGUGGGUGCCUCUGUGUGCAAUAUGUCAGAAGACACUGCACUGUCCUGAAUAUCCAAAAAGAACAAACAAAAAAAUAAAAUAUAAAUGAAUCCUUAGGAAAAAGAAUUCAUGAAAGGAACAUAGGUGCGUUUUUACACAUGUACAUACACACACACACACUCAAGGGGGGGCAUUUACUUUGUGAAAACAAGUGUAAGUUCUUUCUGUUCCUGUUGGAGUUUAAGUUUAGUUUUAAGAAGUGAAAUAUUUUCCUCAAUUUUCAAAGACGUGGGUUCAUCAGAGAAACCUUAAAGGUCACAAAACGUUUGACUACCCCCGAAAACGACACAGAUGACGUAUCUCCACGCACACGGGGAAGCAUAUUUUGUGAUUUUCAAAUUGUGGAAAUCUCUUCCCCAGACUUUGCCCCGAAGCCUUCCAUCCGAUGUUGCCAAUAUAAGAUAUGAUCUAACCAGAGAAACACCAGUAACUGAAGUGAUUAGAUGGUCAGCGAUCUCAUGCCAUUAAUUACAUGCAGUGUCUUUUGCUUCUAGGCAUCUUAUCAUAACCCAGAUUUAUGGGUAUCAUUUUAGGAGAUAAUUGUGAACGAAAAGGAGCCAGCGAUUAUAUGAGAGAUUCUUGUUUGAGUGUUUACGAUGUUUUUCACCUCCCAAAUGAUUUCUUACCUCCUGCUAACAACCGGCACUGUUGGA
This is a long non-coding RNA of Marmota flaviventris (yellow-bellied marmot), 2469 nucleotides long. RefSeq lists it as uncharacterized. Lineage: Eukaryota; Metazoa; Chordata; Mammalia; Rodentia; Sciuridae. The record is from RefSeq and is a predicted model, not a curated record.